This is a long non-coding RNA of Daphnia pulicaria, 1145 nucleotides long. RefSeq lists it as uncharacterized. The transcript has 3 exons. NCBI's taxonomy places the organism in Eukaryota, Metazoa, Arthropoda, Branchiopoda, Diplostraca, Daphniidae. The record is from RefSeq and is a predicted model, not a curated record.
ACAGGUUUUAUUUUCCCGUGUUGCGGACAGUGAUGAUGUCCGUGAUUUCCUUCGAGAACGCUUGGGGAGCGGAUAUCAUUUGGGGGGGUUGCUUCAAUCUAUUUAUAAACGGCGCUCAACUGUGCCAGGUUGCCGGCCAAAGUACACUUGACCGAAGCAACGAGCCAGCAACUCCUCACGACGCAGUCGAUGAUAUACCAGAAAUCAAGGCAAAACGUGGGCGCCGCGACGCGAGCGCAUUCUUGGAAUUCCUCCAAAAUCUUGGUGAAAUACUUUGCUCGACAGAGAGAAAACAAAAGAUCCAACAGAUUUUCAUAGAGACAGGGAGAGAGGUAGAUUGUUUUUUGAAAAGCGCCGACCAGCAGCUGCUGCUGCUUCUCCUACUGCAAUGGCCCUUUCUCUUCAUUGCCUUGGAUUCCCUGGCUAAUGGGAUUGCUUUUAAAGGUUUCACAUUCGCGAGGUAAUGGAAUCUCCUGUAUAAUGUCAACAGUCGUGCCCGCCUUUUGCUGCUCCGAAAAUCAACAGACAAAUUAGUAGCCCACAUCGCAUAACACUGGCCUUAAGGAAUGCACCCACAGAUAGAAGGUAGCACCAGUGGGUGACCUGGAAAUAGAAUUGCGAGAGCUGGCUAGUUGCCACCAUGAGGCUUAUCGACAAUCAUGACACAAAACAGGAAGAAGAGAACUUUUGCAAACCACAAGCCGAUGGGUGACCCUACUUCCUUUCAUAUAAACCAGCACGCACACUGAAUGACAGCACAGUUCCAUUGCUUUUAGGUCAGCUGCAGCCGAACAACAGAGCUCAAGGAUAUUCUUCUUGUGUGGCUUCUGCUUAAGCCAAAGUAACCAAAUCAUAGAAUAACGGGACCUGACUGUGAAGAGCAACUUGUGGAUGACUGCUAACGGGUUGGAUACCGGGCCGAUUGUGUUGUUUACAGACGCCCGGACAUGGGUGGGGCCCCUGUAUAUAUAAACAAGCGAUUUCGAGCCUAGGCCAGGAGAAAUGGAAGGAAGCCGAGAAGAAGCGGGAUGCAAAAUGCACACGUUUUCCUUACCGGUGAGGGGAUUCAAGUGGUUGGUAGUACCCGUUUAAACUUGAACAGAGUCGGCUUUGGUGCAACACUACACAACUUUGUCUACGUUAAG